GAAAUUAGCGCUGUGGAACCACCCGAUCCCAUCCCGAACUCGGAAGUGAAACGCAGCUGCGCCGAUGGUAGUGUGGCUCAAGCCAUGCGAGAGUAGGUCAUCGCCAGGG
Molecule: ribosomal RNA, 109 nt
Filed under: Stenotrophomonas chelatiphaga
Lineage: Bacteria; Pseudomonadati; Pseudomonadota; Gammaproteobacteria; Lysobacterales; Lysobacteraceae
Also listed under: 3 other names
Source: RNAcentral